GAGAUCCGCCUCCCGCGGAACCGCACGCGGCUCUGGCUCGGCACCUUCGACACAGCCGAGGAGGCGGCGCUUGCCUACGACCAGGCGGCGUACCGCCUCCGCGGCGACGCGGCGCGGCUCAACUUCCCCGACAACGCCGCCUCCCGCGGCCCGCUCCACGCCUCCGUCGACGCCAAGCUCCAGACGCUCUGCCAGAACAUCGCCGCCGCCAAGAACGCCAAGAAGUCCUCUGUCUCCGCCUCCGCCGCCGCAACAUCCUCCGCGCCCACCAGCAACUGCUCGUCGCCGUCCUCCGACGACGCGUCGUCCUGCCUGGAGUCCGCCGACUCGUCGCCCU
RNAcentral lists this long non-coding RNA (337 nucleotides) under Oryza sativa (Asian cultivated rice). RNAcentral describes it as "long non-coding RNA (OSAT_LNC001642)". Lineage: Eukaryota; Viridiplantae; Streptophyta; Magnoliopsida; Poales; Poaceae. The record is from RNAcentral.